Molecule: ribosomal RNA, 491 nt
Filed under: uncultured bacterium
Lineage: Bacteria
Description: bacterial SSU rRNA
Rfam family: Bacterial small subunit ribosomal RNA
Source: RNAcentral
GAUGAACGCUAGCUACAGGCUUAACACAUGCAAGUCGAGGGGCAGCAUUUUAGUUUGCUUGCAAACUGAAGAUGGCGACCGGCGCACGGGUGAGUAACACGUAUCCAACCUGCCGAUAACUCCGGGAUAGCCUUUCGAAAGAAAGAUUAAUACCGGAUAGCAUACGAAUAUCGCAUGAUAUUUUUAUUAAAGAAUUUCGGUUAUCGAUGGGGAUGCGUUCCAUUAGUUUGUUGGCGGGGUAACGGCCCACCAAGACAACGAUGGAUAGGGGUUCUGAGAGGAAGGUCCCCCACAUUGGAACUGAGACACGGUCCAAACUCCUACGGGAGGCAGCAGUGAGGAAUAUUGGUCAAUGGGCGAGAGCCUGAACCAGCCAAGUAGCGUGAAGGAUGAAGGCUCUAUGGGUCGUAAACUUCUUUUAUAUGGGAAUAAAGUAUUCCACGUGUGGAAUUUUGUAUGUACCAUAUGAAUAAGGAUCGGCUAACUCCGUG